Small nuclear RNA from Coffea eugenioides, 103 nucleotides. The record is from RefSeq and is a predicted model, not a curated record. Lineage: Eukaryota; Viridiplantae; Streptophyta; Magnoliopsida; Gentianales; Rubiaceae.
GGAUUGAGCAUAUCCGUUAGAUAAAAUUGGAAUGAUACAGGGAAGAUUAGCAUGGCCCUGCGCAAGAAUGACACGCACAAAUCGAGAAAUGGGCAGAGCAUAU